CUACUUCACGACCACCGCAUUUGCCGCAGUGGCUCCUCAUUCACCUCUUCCUCUCUGAUCUGCCCUGACUGGGGGUGCGUAAUUGCUCUCUCUCUUGCUUUCAAUUUAACAGCUGAGCUGACUGAAUAAAACAGAGAAGAAAACGAGUAUGUACGGAAGGGAUCCAUGGGGUGGUCCGCUGGAGAUAAACGCGGCGGACUCCGCCACCGACGAUGAACGGAGUAGGAAUCUGCAGGAAUUAGACAGGGCUGCUUUGUCCAGGCCUUUGGAUGAGACUCAGCAGAGCUGGCUUCUUGGUCCAGCUGAGCAGAAGAAGAAGAAGAAGUACGUCGAUCUUGGCUGUAUCAUCGUCAGCCGCAAGAUCUUCGUCUGGACCGUCGGUACUCUUCUCGUCUCCGGCUUCUUAGCUGGCUUCAUUACUCUCAUCGUAAAGACUGUGCCUCGUCACCACCAUUCUAAGUCUCCGUCGGAUAAUUACACUCUUGCACUUCACAAGGCACUCAUGUUCUUCAAUGCCCGACGAUCUGGGCUCCCGAAGCACAAUAACGUUUCGUGGAGAGGGAAUUCUUGUGUGAAUGAUGGGAAAUCGGC
Molecule: unclassified non-coding RNA, 591 nt
Filed under: Hevea brasiliensis (rubber tree)
Lineage: Eukaryota; Viridiplantae; Streptophyta; Magnoliopsida; Malpighiales; Euphorbiaceae
Source: RNAcentral